UACAGAGGGUGCAAGCGUUGUUCGGAAUUAUUGGGCGUAAAGGGCGCGUAGGCGGUUCGGCAAGUCUCUAGUGAAAUCUCUGGGCUUAACUCUGGGUCUGCUGGGGAAACUGCCGGGCUUGAGUGUGGGAGAGGAGGGUGGAAUUCCCGGUGUAGCGGUAAAAUGCGUAGAUAUUGGAAAGAACACCGAUGGCGAAGGCACUCUACUGGGCUAUUACUGACACUCAGAGACGAAAGCUAGGGGAGCAAAUGGG
RNAcentral lists this ribosomal RNA (253 nucleotides) under uncultured bacterium. RNAcentral describes it as "partial 16S ribosomal RNA". It matches the Rfam family "Bacterial small subunit ribosomal RNA", at positions 524 to 776 of the family's 1533-position model. The record is from RNAcentral.